Molecule: ribosomal RNA, 253 nt
Filed under: uncultured bacterium
Lineage: Bacteria
Description: partial 16S ribosomal RNA
Rfam family: Bacterial small subunit ribosomal RNA
Source: RNAcentral
GACGUAGGAGGCGAGCGUUGUCCGGAUUCAUUGGGCGUAAAGAGCACGCAGGCGGUUUGGCAAGUCGGAUGUGAAAACCCGAAGCUCAACUUCGGGCCUGCAUCCGAAACUGCCCGACUAGAGGUAGGUAGGGGAGAUCGGAAUUCCUGGUGUAGCGGUGAAAUGCGCAGAUAUCAGGAGGAACACCGGUGGCGAAGGCGACUUUCUGGCCUGUUCUUGACGCUGAGGCGCGAAAGCUAGGGGAGCAAACGGG